UACGUAGGUGGCAAGCCGUUAUCCGGAAUUAUUGGGCGUAAAGCGCGCGUAGGCGGUUUUUUAAGUCUGAUGUGAAAGCCCACGGCUCAACCGUGGAGGGUCAUUGGAAACUGGAAAACUUGAGUGCAGAAGAGGAAAGUGGAAUUCCAUGUGUAGCGGUGAAAUGCGCAGAGAUAAUGGAGGAACACCAGUGGCGAAGGCGACUUUCUGGUCUGUAACUGACGCUGAUGUGCGAAAGCGUGGGGAU
RNAcentral lists this ribosomal RNA (247 nucleotides) under uncultured bacterium. RNAcentral's name for it is "partial 16S ribosomal RNA". It matches the Rfam family "Bacterial small subunit ribosomal RNA", at positions 524 to 768 of the family's 1533-position model. The record is from RNAcentral.